RNAcentral lists this ribosomal RNA (520 nucleotides) under uncultured Glomus. RNAcentral's name for it is "SSU rRNA". It matches the Rfam family "Eukaryotic small subunit ribosomal RNA", at positions 569 to 1093 of the family's 1831-position model. The record is from RNAcentral. Lineage: Eukaryota; Fungi; Glomeromycota; Glomeromycetes; Glomerales; Glomeraceae.
AGCAGCCGCGGUAAUUCCAGCUCCAAUAGCGUAUAUUAAAGUUGUUGCAGUUAAAAAGUUCGUAGUUGAAUUUCGAGAUCAAAUUGUUGGUCGUGCCUCGGUACGUACUGGCAUUAUUGAUUUCUCCUUUCUGAAGGACCAUGAUGUCAUUAAUUUGGUGUCUUGGGAAAUCAGGACUGUUACUUUGAAAAAAUUAGAGUGUUUAAAGCAGGCUCACGCUUGAAUACAUUAGCAUGGAAUAAUGAAAAGGACGUUUGAUUCUAUUUUGUUGGUUUCUAGGAUCGACGUAAUGAUUAAUAGGGAUAGUUGGGGGCAUUAGUAUUCAAUUGUCAGGGGUGAAAUUCUUGGAUUUAUUGAAGACUAACUACUGCGAAAGCAUUUGCCAAGGAUGUUUUCAUUAAUCAAGAACGAAAGUUAGGGGAUCGAAGACGAUCAGAUACCGUCGUAGUCUUAACCAUAAACUAUGCCGACUAGGGAUCGGAUGAUGUUAAUUUUUAAUGACUCUAUCGGCGUCCGUUAA